AGAGUUUGAUCAUGGCCAAGGAUUAACAAGGUAAGGCUGCUUAGGUACUAGAGUUUGAUCAUGGUUUAGUCAUAUAGUGGUAGAUGGGUGAGUAGCGUGUGAGGAUUUGCCUACAGGACUGGGACAACGGUUGGAAACGGAUGCUAAAACCGGAUGUGCCGAGAGGUGAAAUAUGUGUAGCCUGUAGAUGAGCUCGCGUCUGAUUAGCUAGUUGGUGAGGUAAGGGCUCACCAAGGCGACGAUCAGUAGCUGGUCUGAGAGGACGAUCAGCCACACUGGGACUGAGACACGGCCCAGACUCCUACGGGAGGCAGCAGUGGGGAAUUUUCCGCAAUGGGCGAAAGCCUGACGGAGCAAUACCGCGUGAGGGAGGAAGGUCUGUGGAUUGUAAACCUCUUUUGAUAGGGAAGAAGUUCUGACGGUACCUAUCGAAUCAGCAUCGGCUAACUCCGUGCCAGCAGCCGCGGUAAUACGGAGGAUGCAAGCGUUAUCCGGAUUUAUUGGGCGUAAAGCGUCCGUAGGUGGUUAUUCAAGUCUAUUGUCAAAGCCUGGGGCUUAACCCUGGAGAGGCGGUGGAAACUGAAUAACUAGAGUGCGGUAGGGGCAGAGGGAAUUCCCAGUGUAGCGGUGAAAUGCGUAGAUAUUGGGAAGAAC
Molecule: ribosomal RNA, 654 nt
Filed under: uncultured bacterium
Lineage: Bacteria
Description: bacterial SSU rRNA
Rfam family: Bacterial small subunit ribosomal RNA
Source: RNAcentral